This 378-nucleotide ribosomal RNA is filed under the name uncultured bacterium. RNAcentral describes it as "bacterial SSU rRNA". It matches the Rfam family "Bacterial small subunit ribosomal RNA", at positions 523 to 898 of the family's 1533-position model. The record is from RNAcentral.
AUACGUAGGGUGCGAGCGUUGUCCGGAAUUAUUGGGCGUAAAGAGCUUGUAGGCGGUCUGUCGCGUCUGCUGUGAAAAUCCGGGGCUCAACCCCGGACUUGCAGUGGGUACGGGCAGACUAGAGUGUGGUAGGGGAGACUGGAAUUCCUGGUGUAGCGGUGAAAUGCGCAGAUAUCAGGAGGAACACCGAUGGCGAAGGCAGGUCUCUGGGCCAUAACUGACGCUGAGAAGCGAAAGCAUGGGGAGCGAACAGGAUUAGAUACCCUGGUAGUCCAUGCUGUAAACGUUGGGAACUAGGUGUGGGUCUCAUUCCACGAGAUCCGUGCCGCAGCUAACGCAUUAAGUUCCCCGCCUGGGGAGUACGGCCGCAAGGCUAAA